This 659-nucleotide ribosomal RNA is filed under the name Vibrio sp. SC54. RNAcentral's name for it is "bacterial SSU rRNA". It matches the Rfam family "Bacterial small subunit ribosomal RNA", at positions 56 to 694 of the family's 1533-position model. Lineage: Bacteria; Pseudomonadati; Pseudomonadota; Gammaproteobacteria; Vibrionales; Vibrionaceae. The record is from RNAcentral.
UGCAGUCGAGCGGANCGACAUUNACAAUCCUUCGGGUGCGUUAAUGGGCGUCGAGCGGCGGACGGGUGAGUAAUGCCUAGGAAAUUGCCUUGAUGUGGGGGAUAACCAUUGGAAACGAUGGCUAAUACCGCAUGAUGCCUACGGGCCAAAGAGGGGGACCUUCGGGCCUCUCGCGUCAAGAUAUGCCUAGGUGGGAUUAGCUAGUUGGUGAGGUAAUGGCUCACCAAGGCGACGAUCCCUAGCUGGUCUGAGAGGAUGAUCAGCCACACUGGAACUGAGACACGGUCCAGACUCCUACGGGAGGCAGCAGUGGGGAAUAUUGCACAAUGGGCGAAAGCCUGAUGCAGCCAUGCCGCGUGUAUGAAGAAGGCCUUCGGGUUGUAAAGUACUUUCAGUUGUGAGGAAGGGUGUGUAGUUAAUAGCUGCGCAUCUUGACGUUAGCAACAGAAGAAGCACCGGCUAACUCCGUGCCAGCAGCCGCGGUAAUACGGAGGGUGCGAGCGUUAAUCGGAAUUACUGGGCGUAAAGCGCAUGCAGGUGGUUCAUUAAGUCAGAUGUGAAAAGCCCGGGGCUCAACCUCGGAACUGCAUUUGAAACUGGUGAACUAGANUNNUGUAGAGGGGGGGUAGAANUUCNNNNGUAGCGGUGAAAUGCGUANA